CCUACGGGAGGCAGCAGUGAGGAAUAUUGGUCAAUGGCCGCAAGCCUGAACCAGCCAAGCCGCGUGAAGGAGGACUGCGCUAUGCGUUGUAAACUUCUUUUGCCGGGGGACAAAGGGCCGGACGGGUACCGUUCUGCGUGUACCCGUAGAAUAAGGAUCGGCUAACUCCGUGCCAGCAGCCGCGGUAAUACGGAGGAUGCGAGCGUUAUCCGGAUUUAUUGGGUUUAAAGGGAGCGUAGGCGGGUCGUUAAGGCCGCGGUGAAAGUCGGGGGCUCAACCCCGGCAGGGCCGUCGAUACUGGCGGCCUUGAGUGCGGUGGAGGUAGGCGGAAUGCGUGGUGUAGCGGUGAAAUGCAUAGAUAUCGCGCAGAACCCCGAUUGCGAAGGCAGCGUGCCGUGCUGCCACUGACGCUGAGGCACGAAAGCGUGGGGAUCGAACAGGAUUAGAUACCCUAGUAGUC
This 460-nucleotide ribosomal RNA is filed under the name uncultured bacterium. Its description in RNAcentral is "partial 16S ribosomal RNA". It matches the Rfam family "Bacterial small subunit ribosomal RNA", at positions 338 to 795 of the family's 1533-position model. The record is from RNAcentral.